AAGAAAUUUAAUAAUUUUGAAAAUGGAUUUUUUUGUUUUGGCAAGAGCAUGAGAGCUUUUACUGGGCAAGAAGACAAGAGAUGGAGAGUCCAGCCGGGCCUGCGCUUAAGUGCGCGGUCUUGCUAGGCCUGUAAGUUUCUUUCUUGCUAUUCCAAACGGUGAGAGAUUUCUGUGCUUUUGUUAUAGGACAAUUAAAACCGUUUCAAUACAACACACUGUGGAGUUUUCAUAUCUUUGCAACUUUUUCUUUGGGCAUUCGAGCAAUCGGGGCCCAGAGGUAACAAACACAAACAAUUUUAUUUAUUCAUUAAAUUUUUGUCAAAAACAAGAAUUUUCGUAACUGGAAAUUUUAAAAUAUUAA
Molecule: ribosomal RNA, 361 nt
Filed under: Saccharomyces cerevisiae YJM1083
Lineage: Eukaryota; Fungi; Ascomycota; Saccharomycetes; Saccharomycetales; Saccharomycetaceae
Description: ITS1-24
Source: RNAcentral